Molecule: ribosomal RNA, 433 nt
Filed under: uncultured bacterium
Lineage: Bacteria
Description: partial 16S ribosomal RNA
Rfam family: Bacterial small subunit ribosomal RNA
Source: RNAcentral
AACGAACGCUGGCGGCAUGCCUAACACAUGCAAGUCGAACGAGACCUUCGGGUCUAGUGGCGCACGGGUGCGUAACGCGUGGGAACCUGCCCUUAGGUUCGGAAUAACUCCCCGAAAGGGGUGCUAAUACCGGAUAAUGUCUUCGGACCAAAGAUUUUUCGCCUUUGGAUGGGCCCGCGUUGGUUUAGCUAGUUGGUAGGGUAAAAGCCUACCAAGGCGACGAUCCAUAGCUGGUCUGAGAGGAUGAUCAGCCACACUGGGACUGAGACACGGCCCAGACUCCGACGGGAGGGAGCAGUGGGGAAUAUUGGACGAGGGGCGAUAGCCUGGUCCAGCAGUGCCGCGUGAGUGAUGAAGGCCGUAGGGUUGUACAGCUCUUUUAGCCGGAAUGAUAAUGACAGUACCGGGAGAAUAAGCUCCGGCUAACUCCGUG